This is a long non-coding RNA of Sapajus apella (tufted capuchin), 102 nucleotides long. RefSeq lists it as uncharacterized. The record is from RefSeq and is a predicted model, not a curated record. The transcript is spliced from 4 exons. NCBI's taxonomy places the organism in Eukaryota, Metazoa, Chordata, Mammalia, Primates, Cebidae.
AAUGAAAGAAAGAGAGAACUACAAAGCAUCAAGAGAGAACUACAAAGAACACUAAGUUUAAAAAAAAAAUCGGCUCCUCUUCCUCAAAUGUGUCCCCAUUCC